AGUGAAACGGUGGAAAAGGGGGUGUGAUAUAAUAAAAUAUUAGGAGAUGGGACACAAUAAGCGGGUAGCUUCUCGUGGGUCUUCCAGCUCGCGCCACCAUUUCAUCUCUCCUCUCCUUUCUGUCUCUUGUUCUCGAGAGGAAAAAAAAAACCUAGAUCGCUGCUUCGUCUAUCUCGCUCUUAUCUGUAAAAAGUUGAGGAAAAAUAUCAGCUAUAUUUCAAGAUCGCUGCUACUCCCUCUCCCUCUUGCACCUCAUCUUAAGAUUUGGGGAAAAAAACCCUAGGUCUCCAUAUCUUCCUAAAGAUCUCUCUUUUCCAGCGAAUCAACAUUCAGAUUUGUGUUUUUUCCGACCCUGUUGGUUCCUACAGUUGAAAUCAAAAUGGAUAAUGUUGAGGAGGAGAUGAUGAUGAGGAUUGUAUCUGGGGAUGCUAUGACGGUGUUACUGAUGAUGGUUACAUUUCUAAAGAGAUUACAAUCUAGACGAAGGCGUAUCACUCAUGUACCUUGAUAAGAAAAGAUAGCGAAUGUAAGGUACCGAUUUGCACAAUUGUCUAGGAUAUUCAAAGGUUAUUCUACUAGUUGUAAAGACUAUUUAAGAAUGUGUAAAGUUACAUUUGACAAUCUUGUAACUUUGACGAGGACAAAGGGCCUACUUAAAGACUCUAGGCACAUUACGGUUGAAGAACAACUUGUAAUAUUCUUGAACAUCUUGGGUCAUAAAACCAAAAAUAGGUUACUAAGAUCUAACUUCA
Molecule: long non-coding RNA, 752 nt
Organism: Asparagus officinalis (garden asparagus)
Lineage: Eukaryota; Viridiplantae; Streptophyta; Magnoliopsida; Asparagales; Asparagaceae
Exons: 2
Source: RefSeq, a predicted model, not a curated record